ACUACUUUGGCAGAUUAGUGCGUUAAAUUUAGAAUUUAUUUAUGUAAUUCUUAUUACAUGUAGUA
Molecule: transfer RNA, 65 nt
Filed under: Megacopta cribraria (bean plataspid)
Lineage: Eukaryota; Metazoa; Arthropoda; Insecta; Hemiptera; Plataspidae
Description: tRNA-Leu
Source: RNAcentral